UCUGACGAGCACGCCGCGUGAGUGAAGAAGGUUUUCGGAUCGUAAAACUCUGUUGGUAGAGAAGAACGUUGGUGAGAGUGGAAAGCUCAUCAAGUGACGGUAACUACCCAGAAAGGGACGGCUAACUACGUGCCAGCAGCCGCGGUAAUA
RNAcentral lists this ribosomal RNA (150 nucleotides) under uncultured Lactococcus sp. RNAcentral describes it as "partial 16S ribosomal RNA". It matches the Rfam family "Bacterial small subunit ribosomal RNA", at positions 382 to 525 of the family's 1533-position model. Lineage: Bacteria; Bacillati; Bacillota; Bacilli; Lactobacillales; Streptococcaceae. The record is from RNAcentral.